GUUAAGCGACUAAGCGUACACGGUGGAUGCCCUGGCAGUCAGAGGCGAUGAAGGACGUGCUAAUCUGCGAUAAGCGUCGGUAAGGUGAUAUGAACCGUUAUAACCGGCGAUUUCCGAAUGGGGAAACCCAGUGUGUUUCGACACACUAUCAUUAACUGAAUCCAUAGGUUAAUGAGGCGAACCGGGGGAACUGAAACAUCUAAGUACCCCGAGGAAAAGAAAUCAACCGAGAUUCCCCCAGUAGCGGCGAGCGAACGGGGAGCAGCCCAGAGCCUGAAUCAGUGUGUGUGUUAGUGGAAGCGUCUGGAAAGGCGCGCGAUACAGGGUGACAGCCCCGUACACAAAAAUGCACAUGCUGUGAGCUCGAUGAGUAGGGCGGGACACGUGGUAUCCUGUCUGAAUAUGGGGGGACCAUCCUCCAAGGCUAAAUACUCCUGACUGACCGAUAGUGAACCAGUACCGUGAGGGAAAGGCGAAAAGAACCCCGGCGAGGGGAGUGAAAAAGAACCUGAAACCGUGUACGUACAAGCAGUGGGAGCACGCUUAGGCGUGUGACUGCGUACCUUUUGUAUAAUGGGUCAGCGACUUAUAUUCUGUAGCAAGGUUAACCGAAUAGGGGAGCCGAAGGGAAACCGAGUCUUAACUGGGCGUUAAGUUGCAGGGUAUAGACCCGAAACCCGGUGAUCUAGCCAUGGGCAGGUUGAAGGUUGGGUAACACUAACUGGAGGACCGAACCGACUAAUGUUGAAAAAUUAGCGGAUGACUUGUGGCUGGGGGUGAAAGGCCAAUCAAACCGGGAGAUAGCUGGUUCUCCCCGAAAGCUAUUUAGGUAGCGCCUCGUGAAUUCA
Molecule: ribosomal RNA, 848 nt
Filed under: Escherichia coli
Lineage: Bacteria; Pseudomonadati; Pseudomonadota; Gammaproteobacteria; Enterobacterales; Enterobacteriaceae
Description: partial 23S ribosomal RNA
Rfam family: Bacterial large subunit ribosomal RNA
Source: RNAcentral